AAACCAAACAGACUUCCUCUCGAAUUCAUCUCCUUUCUGUCCCCUUCACCAAAUUUUUCAUUAGUUCUUUAAUUUGGUUGCUAAUUGCUACUAUAAUUCCGAUAACAUAAAACCAGGCCGCAGAGGACAACAUUCGUUCCAUGCCAUGUAAUCUGCAUUGGCGCAAACACUGCUAGGCAUGGGAUGUAUCAGCCACUUAUGGAGAACUGGAUCAGGCAACAUUGGAGCAUUUGGCCCAUUGUGUUGGGCUGGCACUUAUUGGCGACAUGGCUUUUCGGCCGGUUACGUGCUCUGUUAGGCUGGGUUUCCAACCGAGACUGAUUUAUUCCCCUUGAUAUCUCAUAGCCCCACGGUUAUCAUUGGUCUAGGGGUUAUGACUAAUUUGUAAAAGUCUCUUCUAUAACAGUUAUCUUUCUCAAAUACUCCAUCUGUUCUCUAUAAUGAAAGUUUUUUAAAAAAAAUUAAGACGCCUUAAGGAAAAACUACUCCAAUAAAUUAAACCCAAUUAAAGGCUUUCUCCUUAUAAAUCUGGUAAGGUUUCUUUUUAACAAAAUUUGCCAAAUGGAACAUGGACACUACGUAAAAUGCUAGUAUAGAUUUUUGAAAGCAUAAUACAUCGGAUUGUGUAUUCGAGGACGAAAGGGAAUAGCUUUUUUCUUAUCCAUUAUCUAAAAAAACAUAGGCACCUUCUAUGAGCACAAUUUCUUCGGAACUGACGAAGUUAAUUGUGAGAAUAGAGUAUUUUGUUUUUUUUCAGUUCUUGUCCUCUAGCUUACUGCUUGUAAUCUUUGGCAAUACAAUAUUAUUUUUUCUAAGUCAAACUUGUCAACUUUUUACUAAGUUUUUUAAAUACUAUAACAAUAACAAUACCAAUGCCAAUAGAUCUAGAUUUUUGUGAAAAGGUGUCCUCCACAACAUCUCAUUUUUUUUGCGAAAACCCAACAGCAUCUUCAAAUGAAUAUCCAAAUAUAGUUAUCCUCUAUUCUGAAUUUCUCUCUCUAGCUAAAGAUGGGCAACGAGUUUAACUCUCCAGGGUGUACACAAUAUAUAUAGAUAAAGAAAUUGAUUUUUAUUCAAAUGACUUUUUGAACGAAGGUUACAGGAUGAGUUUUAGAAAGACUUUCAUGAGAUGCUCUUAAUCUGUUCAUCGAAGCAACCUUCUCGCUCCUUUUCCCUCCUCAUAUAUAACCACCAAAACCUGCAGCCUUGGCAAAACUCCAGCUCACUUCUGAUCUUUUAUAUAUCAUUUAUACAAUAUUGUGUUAUUUUGUUGCCGGUCA
RNAcentral lists this long non-coding RNA (1280 nucleotides) under Sorghum bicolor (sorghum). Its description in RNAcentral is "long non-coding RNA (SBIC_LNC015259)". Lineage: Eukaryota; Viridiplantae; Streptophyta; Magnoliopsida; Poales; Poaceae. The record is from RNAcentral.